UAGUCUUAGAAACAAUGAGUAAUAAGAUCCUAAACAUACAAUAAAAACCACUCUCCUUACAAACAAGCACAAAUUGACCUGGGAUAACUUCGAACAUAAAAUCUUCUACAAAUAACAACAAUAGUACUGAAUAAUUAUCGAAUCUAUCAAUAAACAUGAACAUAACCUACAAACAAACUUACAUAAACACAAAGAACAAACCCACAUGUCAAAAAAAUCCAUUGCUUCAAUCACAGAGAACAAAAUUGAUUCUCAUGUUACUAA
RNAcentral lists this long non-coding RNA (264 nucleotides) under Elaeis guineensis (African oil palm). Its description in RNAcentral is "long non-coding RNA (EGUI_LNC028441)". Lineage: Eukaryota; Viridiplantae; Streptophyta; Magnoliopsida; Arecales; Arecaceae. The record is from RNAcentral.